UGAGGAAUAUUGGUCAAUGGACGAGAGUCUGAACCAGCCAAGUAGCGUGAAGGAUGACUGCCCUAUGGGUUGUAAACUUCUUUUAUACGGGAAUAAAGUUAGCCACGUGUGGCUUUUUGUAUGUACCGUAUGAAUAAGGAUCGGCUAACUCCGUGCCAGCAGCCGCGGUAAUACGGAGGAUCCGAGCGUUAUCCGGAUUUAUUGGGUUUAAAGGGAGCGUAGGCGGGUUGUUAAGUCAGUUGUGAAAGUUUGCGGCUCAACCGUAAAAUUGCAGUUGAUACUGGCGACCUUGAGUGCAACAGAGGUAGGCGGAAUUCGUGGUGUAGCGGUGAAAUGCUUAGAUAUCACGAAGAACUCCGAUUGCGAAGGCAGCUUACUGGAUUGUAACUGACGCUGAUGCUCGAAAGUGUGGGUAUCAAACAGGAUUAGAUACCCUGGUAGUCCACACAGUAAACGAUGAAUACUCGCUGUUGGCGAUAUACGGUCAGCGGCCAAGCGAAAGCAUUAAGUAUUCCACCUGGGGAGUACGCCGGCAACGGUGAAACUCAAAGGAAUUGACGGGGGCCCGCACAAGCGGAGGAACAUGUGGUUUAAUUCGAUGAUACGCGAGGAACCUUACCCGGGCUUAAAUUGCAACUGACUGAACCGGAAACGGUUCUUUCUUCGGACAGUUGUGAAGGUGCUGCAUGGUUGUCGUCAGCUCGUGCCGUGAGGUGCCGGCUUAAGUGCCAUAACGAGCGCAACCCUUAUCGAUAGUUACUAGCAGGUCAUGCUGAGGACUCUAUUGAGACUGCCGUCGUAAGAUGUGAGGAAGGUGGGGAUGACGUCAAAUCAGCACGGCCCUUACGUCCGGGGCUACACACGUGUUACAAUGGGGGGUACAGAAGGCAGCUACACGGCGACGUGGUGCUAAUCCCGAAAGCCUCUCUCAGUUCGGAUUGGAGUCUGCAACCCGACUCCAUGAAGCUGGAUUCGCUAGUAAUCGCGCAUCAGCCACGGCGCGGUGAAUACGUUCCC
RNAcentral lists this ribosomal RNA (1017 nucleotides) under uncultured organism. RNAcentral describes it as "bacterial SSU rRNA". It matches the Rfam family "Bacterial small subunit ribosomal RNA", at positions 355 to 1375 of the family's 1533-position model. The record is from RNAcentral.